Molecule: ribosomal RNA, 585 nt
Filed under: uncultured bacterium
Lineage: Bacteria
Description: bacterial SSU rRNA
Rfam family: Bacterial small subunit ribosomal RNA
Source: RNAcentral
CCUACGGGAGGCAGCAGUGGGGAAUUUUGGACAAUGGGGGAAACCCUGAUCCAGCCAUGCCGCGUGAGUGAAGAAGGCCUUCGGGUUGUAAAGCUCUUUCAGCCGGAACGAAACGGUCACGGUCAAUACCCGUGACUACUGACGGUACCGGAAGAAGAAGCACCGGCUAACUACGUGCCAGCAGCCGCGGUAAUACGUAGGGUGCAAGCGUUAAUCGGAAUUACUGGGCGUAAAGCGUGCGCAGGCGGUUUUGUAAGUCAGAUGUGAAAUCCCCGGGCUUAACCUGGGAACUGCGUUUGAAACUACAAGGCUAGAGUGUGGCAGAGGGGGGUGGAAUUCCACGUGUAGCAGUGAAAUGCGUAGAGAUGUGGAGGAACACCGAUGGCGAAGGCAGCCCCCUGGGUUAACACUGACGCUCAGGCACGAAAGCGUGGGGAGCAAACAGGAUUAGAUACCCUGGUAGUCCACGCCCUAAACGAUGUCAACUAGUUGUCGGGUCUUAACGGACUUGGUAACGCAGCUAACGCGUGAAGUUGACCGCCUGGGGAGUACGGUCGCAAGAUUAAAACUCAAAGGGAUUGACGG